GCUGGGCGUGGUGGCUCAUGCCUGUAAUCCCAGCAUUUUGGGAGGCUGAGGCGGGUGGAUCACCUGAGGUCAGGAGUUCGAGACCAGCCUGGCCAACAUGGUGAGCCCUCGUCUCUA
This 117-nucleotide non-coding RNA is filed under the name Gorilla gorilla gorilla (western lowland gorilla). The record is from Rfam by way of RNAcentral. Lineage: Eukaryota; Metazoa; Chordata; Mammalia; Primates; Hominidae.